UUAAAAAGAAAAAGAAGAGUCAGAGAUCCAAAGAAUAAGUAAGUUAACCAGGCAGUAUGAGGGUCCAGCAGUAACAGCAUCCAUCAAAAAAACAGCUCAAAGAGGGUACAAUGUUAACACAUGAUGUUUCUGUCUGAGAAACUUACAGCUUUGUGAAAAAUAUUUGGAAGAAAGAUAAAAUAUACCAAGCAUCUGGAAUGAGGUCCCCUCACAAUACCCUUAAAAUUGGGUCCAUCUUACUUCGGCAAAGCUAAAUCAUCAAAGGCAUCGCCACUUCCAUCUUGCCUUCUUUUGGAUUACUCACCCUAGGGGAAGUCAGCCACCAUGUCAUGAGGAACUCAAGCAGCCUGUGGAAGAGCCCACUUGGAGAGGAACUGUGACCUCCUACCAACAACCAGCAAGAACUUCCCAGUUAUACUGUAAGCUGCAUGAGGGCAGGAUGUUACCAUGUUCACUACAAGAUCGCCAGGACCUGACAGAGUACCUGCUACAUGGUUGGCACGAAAUAAAUACUAGUUAAAGGAAUAUAUAAAUGAACAAAAAAAAAAUCUUCCCUGGAAAAAUGAACUGAUGCUAAGCCAACGUUUGAAGCAAGACCCAAAUCUACAGAAUGCUACAGAAAUGAACAUACAACAAAGGAGAAAGAUGGCUUCUUGAAACGGCAUUUGGAAUGGUAUUGAAACCAUGGCUGAAGUGGUAGCAGAAGUGGAGAUGAAAGAAUUGAACUCCACUUUAUUGCUCAGUGGUUACCAAAUUUCAGUAUAAGGUGUAAGGUAAGUAAUCUAUAAUCCACCUAAAUAAAUACAUUUGUAAAGCA
Zalophus californianus (California sea lion) is the source of this 817-nucleotide long non-coding RNA. RefSeq lists it as uncharacterized. The transcript is spliced from 5 exons. The record is from RefSeq and is a predicted model, not a curated record. NCBI's taxonomy places the organism in Eukaryota, Metazoa, Chordata, Mammalia, Carnivora, Otariidae.